RNAcentral lists this long non-coding RNA (7951 nucleotides) under Lactuca sativa (garden lettuce). Its description in RNAcentral is "long non-coding RNA (LSAT_LNC008297)". The record is from RNAcentral. Lineage: Eukaryota; Viridiplantae; Streptophyta; Magnoliopsida; Asterales; Asteraceae.
CAGGUUUUCUUUAAACUAUGUAUACAAAUGUAUAUUUUUAUCUACUAAUAUGUUGGGUAGAACAUGGGUAGACAGUUGGUGUGUAAUAAACAGAUGAGAGGCCUCGUUGUUGUUUGAUUGAGUCAUCUAGCGGAGUUUAGAUGACGACCACUGGCUAUUCUAGACAGUCUUGUGGAAACAUUAGCAGGUUCGCCACCUGUAGGUGUUAAUGAACUUGGGUGUUCAUUCGCUGUACUCCAUCCCCCUCAUGGUUGCCUUAUUUGACUUAUAUUGCUGAGGUACCCCCGAAGCAUGUGUUGUCGCCCCGAUGAAAUAUUCUUAGACUAGGUCCCUUAUGUUAGUUGUUUUAGGGACAUUAAAGUGAGAAUAACGGGAAUGGGUAAUUGGGUUAUUGUUGGUUGGUGAAAAUUAAAUAUGAUAUUUAUUGUGGGUUGAAAACCCUAUAUGCUCACCAGGCUCCCAAGCCUGACCCACUCAGUUUUAAAUUGUAUUACAGGUAGUGGCGGAAGGGCAUGAGAUGGAUGAACCAUCAAGUUGUUUUGUUUACAAGUCUGCAUAUGUUUAUAUUUGUUAUAUGACUUGUAAUGUAUUCGUUUAUGCUUAUUGGUCUGUAUCGGAACAUGACACCCCGAGUUUUGAUUAUAAUGAAAAUACAUUUCUUUUAUGAAAUGCUUCGGUAAACAAUGUUUUAUCAUGUUUUGUUUUUGGGAACAAAUUCCGCAACUCUUUCAAAUCAAAAGGAUUUACUCUGAAAAUAUUUAAAAGCAUAAAUGAAAAUCGGUCUUUUCUGGCCGAGAUUUUGGGGAUGUCACAGUUGGUAUCAGAGCAUUAGUUUAAGCGAACUAGGAAUUUGUAGGAUUUCUAGACUUAAACUUAGAAUGCUAAGUGAAGUUUUGAGAUGUGUGUCUGUUGUGAUUUAGACACGAGCACUAGUUUAUUUUAGGAAAGUUGCCUAAAAUGCUUUAUGUGCUAAAUGUUAUAUGUUGCCAUAUAUGAUAUUAUUUGUUCGGAUCUAUGGUCUGUUGCCGACCGGAUCUAGAAACCUUAUGUGUGUAGGAUUCUAAGCGUACGUCUACGAUAUUAGAACUAGCAUGUAAACGUUUCGGAGUGAUAAGGAUGAUUUGAAUAUCUAUCAUGAUUGAGGAUCUAAUUUCACCUUAUUCGGUGUGUAGAUCAAAAUGGUGAGAACAAGAAGUGGAGUUGGAAAUGCUGACGAAAACAGGAAUCAACCACCAGUGAUUGAGCCAAUACCUGUCGUAGCAGCAGCACCUGAGCCAAUAACCAUGGCUGGUGUGCAAUUGAUGAUUCAGACGAUGUUGGAUCGUCAGAUGGAUGAAACUAGACGGUUGCUUCAACAAAAUCGUGAAGAACUGUCGAUUCGUGUGGAAGAGCCUGAAUUAAAUGAAGGGCACUCGGAAGGUGGAAACUUCAGUGGGUCUGUUGGUCCAGCCAACCCACCGAUAGUUAGGCAAGAUAACCAUGAUGGAAGGAAUGAUGGAAUGGGAUGCAAGUACAAGGACUUUUUGACUUGCAAACCAUCGACCUUCAAUGGAAAGGAGGAUCCGAUUGGGGUUAUGGAUUGGAUCUCCGAAAUGGAGCUAGCCUUCAUGACGUGUGGCUGUAGAGGUAAGUUGCAGACUAUCUAUGCCGUGCGUCAAUUCCGAGGUGGAGCCGUUCGUUGGUGGAACACUCUAGGGAAGACCUUAAGCCCUAAUGAGCCACUGCAAUUGUCAUGGGCAGAGUUCUUGGUGCAGUUCAAGCGCAAGUUCUGCUCGGCUCAAAAUCUGUUGGAGUUGGAGAAUAAGUUUUUGACAUUGACGAAGGGUAGCAUGUCAGUUGAUGAAUACACCAAUAACUUCACCGAUAAGAUGGAGUUUGCCUUGCGUAUCGUUCCAGACGAGCUGACAAAGGUGGAUCGGUAUGCGAAGGGACUUCCAUGGGAGUACGAGGUGCCAGUACGUCAGGCACUUACUCUAGAGGCAGCUAUCUGGGCUGCCAAGUCUGUGGAGAACAUGAUCAAGGGGAGAACCACCGACAAGGUUGAUGUUGGUGAGAAAAGAAAGUUUGAGGGAACAUCUGGUUCCGGUAAGAAAGGAAAAUUUUCGAAAUCUGAUUCGAAAAAGUUUGGAGGAAAAGGAGGCGAAGCAAAGUGGUGUGAUAAGUGUAAGAAAAAGCACUUUGGGAAAUGUAGCGAGGGUGUAACCUGCUACAAGUGUGGAAAGGUCGGACAUUUUGCCAAUGAAUGUCCGAACAACAAAAGGAUGUGUUUUGGGUGUAAUGAAAAGGGGCACAUUUUAAAAGUCUGUCUGAAGAAGAAGGAGGCAGCAUAGCCCAACAUUCCACCAAAACUGAAGGCGAGAGCCUUCCAGAUGACACUUGAGGCUGCGAAAGAUGAAGCUGAUGUCGCUUCAGGUACCUUUCUCGUAAACGAAUUACCUGCUCAUAUAUUGUUUGAUUCUGGAGCCAACUACUCCUUUAUUUCGCAUGAGUUUGGUAGAAAGCUAGCUUUGCCUAUUGAUAGACUAGAUAAUGCUUUAUUAGUCGAAGUAGCUAGUGGCAAGUUUGUACCUGUUAGCCAUCGUAUGAAAAACGUCUUGAUCGACCUUAAUGGGAAUAAGUUUCACGAGGCGUUAUUGCCUAUCGAACUUAAUGGUUUCGACAUCGUCUUGGGAAUGGAUUGGCUUAGCGCCAAUGAUGCCGAAAUUUUAUGCAAGAAAAAGAUAGUUAAAGUAAACCCGCCUGGAAAAGAUUCGUUUAUGGUGUAUGGGGACAAACGGCGAGUGAAUUCUGGGAUCAUUUCUCUAAUGAAAGCCAGAAAGUGUUUGACCAAGGGAUGUACAUCAUAUUUAGCAUUUGUGAUUGAUGCUAAGAAGGAAAAGAAGGUGAUGCAGAGCAUUCCAGUGGUGUGUGAUUUUCCGGAAGUGUUCCCCGAGGAUCUUCCUGGAUUACCACCUGAUAGACAAGUGGAGUUCAGAAUAGACUUUUUACUAGGAACCACGCCAAUAGCAAAAGCACCUUAUCGAUUAGCAUCGACGGAGAUGAAGGAGCUCUGGGGAGCUCCGGUGUUAUUUGUGAAGACAAAGGUUGUUGGACAAAGGUUUCAUUAGACCUAGUUCAUCGCCCUGGGGAGCUCCGGUGUUAUUUGUAAAGAAGAAAGAUGGAAGUAUGAGAAUGUGCAUCGAUUACAGAGAGCUGAACAAGGCAACAAUAAAGAAUAGAUAUCCGUUGCCGAGGAUUGAUGACCUGUUUGAUCAAUUGCAAGGUUCGAGCUAUUUCUCGAAGAUCGAUCUUAGGUCAGGAUAUCAUCAGCUGAAAGUAAGAGAGCAAGAUAUCGAGAAGACUGCAUUCAGAACUAGAUAUGGACACUACGAGUUCUUGGUUAUGUCGUUUGGACUAACCAAUGCUCCAGCAGCGUUCAUGGAUUUGAUGAAUAGGGUUUGUAAUCCUUUCCUUGAUAAAUCCGUGAUAGUGUUCAUAGACGACAUUCUGAUCUACUCGAAAAGCCAGGAGGAGCAUGGCAGACACUUGCGAGAAGUGUUAGAAGUUUUGAAGAAGGAGAAGCUUUAUGCGAAGUUCUCCAAAUGUGAUUUUUGGAUUCGUGAGGUCCAAUUCUUGGGUCACGUGGUCAACCAAGAAGGGAUAAUGGUUGAUCCAGCGAAGAUCGAAGCUGUGACGAAGUGGGAACAACCGAAAAGUCCCACGGAGAUUCGAAGCUUUUUAGGAUUAGCCGGAUAUUACCGAAGGUUUAUCCAAGGCUUUUCUUCGAUUGCUACUCCAUUGACAGCUUUGACCCACAAAGGAGCUACUUAUGCUUGGAGUGAGAAGCAUAAAGAAGCAUUCGAGAAGUUAAAGAAGAAGCUAUGCGAGGCACCGAUACUUUCUCUACCCGAUGGAGUUGAAGACUUCGCUGUUUAUAGCGAUGCGUCUGGUGUUGGAUUGGGUUGUGUUUUGACCCAAAGAGAAAAGGUGAUAGCAUAUGCGUCUCGACAGCUGAAAGAGCAUGAAAAGAAUUACCCGACUCAUGAUUUGGAGUUGGCAGCGGUAGUUUUCGCUCUGAAAAUAUGGAGGCAUUACCUCUAUGGCACGAAGUGCAAACUUUUCACUGAUCAUAAGAGUCUCCAAUACCUCUUUAAUCAGAAAGAAUUGAAUAUGAGGCAACGACGCUGGCUAGAAUUACUUAAAGACUACGACUGCGAGAUACUUUACCACCCCGGUAAAGCUAAUGUUGUUGCUGAUGCUCUCAGUCGGAAAGUCAAUCUUGAAAGGAAGAGGCCAAGAGCGUUGAGAAUUGAAGUUGUCUCGACUAUUGUGGAAAGUAUAAAGAAAGCUCAAGAGGAAGCUUCUGAGAAAAAUGACCGAAAGGAGGAACGUUUGGGUAAAACGUUGGUGUUUGGUACUAACGGUCAUGGACUGAAGGUAUUCCAAGAUCGUAUUUGGGUACCUAAGUCAGGAGGAAUUAGGGAUCUUCUGAUGGAAGAAGCUCACAAAACCAUGUACUCAAUUCAUCCGGGUAGCACUAAAAUGUAUAGGGACCUGAAACCCUACUACUGGUGGCCGACGAUGAAGCUUGAUGUUGCAAAGUAUGUGGCCGAGUGUGUGACUUGUGCGAGAGUCAAGACACAACAUCAGAAACCUUACGGGAGUUUAGAACCAUUGCCUGUGCCUAUGGGUAAGUGGGAAGACAUUGCUAUGGAUUUUGUCACUAAACUGCCCAGAACAAAGAAUGGUCACGACAUGAUUUGGGUGGUCGUUGAUCGAUUCACUAAGAGUGCGCAUUUCAUAGCGGCCAGGGAGAAAUGGUCUAUGGAAAAGCUUGCGAAUUCUUACGUGAAGGAAAUUGUGAGGCUUCACGGUGUUCCGUUAACGAUUGUAUCGGAUCGUGAUAGCCGUUUCACCUCAAGGUUUUGGAAAAGUCUACAAGAGGAAAUGGGUACCAAGUUAUGUUUAAGCACAGCUUACCAUCCGCAGACUGAUGGUCAGAGUGAAAGAACAAUACAAACACUUGAAGAUAUGCUGAGAGCAUGUACCUUGGAAUUCCUAGGUAAUUGGGAUGAACAUUUACCGUUGGUAGAAUUUUCCUAUAAUAAUAGUUUUCACUCGAGCAUUAAGAUGGCACCUUAUCAAGCUUUGUAUGGACAGAAGUGUCGUACGCCGUCUUGUUGGCUUGAGGCUGGGGAAAAGCAGUUUAUGGGACCGGAGAUGGUUCAUCAAACUGCUGAAAAGUUGAAAAUAAUUAGGGAAAGAAUGUUAGCAGCUCAAGAUCGUCAAAAGAGCUAUGCUGACAAAAAGCGAAGACCGAUGACUUUUGAGGUUGGAGAUUCGGUUUUGCUUAAAGUCUCGCCGUGGAAGGGACUUAUAAGAUUUGGUAAAAGGGGAAAGUUGAGUCCAAGGUUUAUUGGACCGUUUAAAGUUCUUCAGAGGAUUGGGAACCAAGCUUACAAGCUCGAAUUACCCGAAGAACUGAAUGGAAUUCACAACACCUUUCAUGUGUGUUAUUUGAGGAAGUUCACGGGAGAAGUUCCCGAUAUAAUUCCAAUUUCUGAAUUGAGAAUUGAUGAGAACAAAAGGUUGAUUGAAGAACCAGAGGCAAUUGUUGACCGAAAGACUAAGAAGUUGCGACGCAAAAUGGUUGGGUUAGUGCUUGUCCGAUGGAAACACACGAAUGGGCCGAAUCUCACCUGGGAGACGGAGAGUGACAUGUUGAGUCGCUAUCCGCAUUUGUUUGUUGAUGUGUGAUUCUGGGGACGGAAUCAUUCUAAGGUGGAGAGAAUUGUAACGCCUGUGUUUCCGGGCUUGCCACUUUUAUCAAUGUAAUAGUCUAGGUUAACCUUUGUAACCCGUUUUGAAAUAAUAAGAUUGUAUUAUUUGAGUAUUAUGUGUUUUGGUGCUUAAUUGCUUAAUUAUGUGGUUUGAUUAAUUAAGAAUAAAAAUAAGCGUCAAAAUUUAAGUGUAAAAUAAACUUAAUGUCUUUGAAUAAUGUUGUAGUAGUUGAAACGAGGUUUCCAAAUAUAUAUAGAACGCCCAAAUCUGACUUCGUAUGAGGAAGUUAUGAUUUAUCGAAGUUUCGGCUUAGCGGUAUGCAGCCUAUUUUACUCGAUUUAAGAUCGACCGGUUUUUAGCCGAAGCACUCUAAAUGAGAAUCGAAGAUCUCAUUGUUGGUAUUGAAACGAUAAAAAGUUAGGCGAGAACGGACGUCAAACGAAGAAGUUAUGAAUUUAUAACGAAGUUUUUCUGUCGCGGCCUAUUAAAAAUAAAUUAUAAAAAUAAAGUUGAAAUUAGUCGAGGGAGUCUAAACGAAAGUUGUAGAGCGUAGUCUCACCUUCGUGUGGAUAUAAAGAACGUCGAAAACAGAGUUCGUGUGAAGAAGUUAUGAAUAUCCGAAGUUUGAUAAAUAUUUUGUAUUUAUUUUUAAAUGGAAAUUCGGAAGCAUUAUCUGAAGCCCAGUCACCGGUCCGAUCCGACUUACACCCCGCGUAAGCGAGUACACCCCGCGUACUCCGAGGGAUGUCAACACCCGCACUCGAGUCUUCGGAUACAUAAGCAGUGACGUAUUCGGACCAGUAUGCCCCGCGUACUGGCGUACUCCCCGCGUACUCCGAGGCUCCAGCCUCCUAUAAAUAGGAUGCGAGGGCAGCCGACCAAAUUGCCAAUUUUCUCUCUUCUCUCUCCCGUUUUGCAUCGUUUUGCGUGCCAGAAAUAUCCCGAAGCCCCGGUAUCAUACUCUAGCCCCGAGGCAAGUCCCGAGAUCCCGAAGAUCCCGAGAAGUGCGGUUCCCGAGUCGAAGCUCUGCCCGCGAGAAGUUCGAUUUUCGAGAAGAUCUUCCAGAUCUGCUGUGGAUUACUACUUCUAUAAGCCGUAGUGCUGUCCGAUCAUCUUCUGAUCAAGUGAGUGUGUAGUUAUUUCUUCUAAUACAAUAAUACGAAGUAUUUUAUAUAAAAAUACGUGCUAUGUGUAUAUAUUUGGUUGUGUUAUGUGUGAAUGAGUAUUCACUCUCUUCUAUCUUAUAGAUCUGCUUAUUUCUUUAUGAGAUAUGUGUUAUGUGUGUGUGUGCCUCAUCUGUUAUGUGAUAUAUGUGUUGAUUAAAGCAUGCUAUACAGGUUUUCUUUAAACUAUGUAUACAAAUGUAUAUUUUUAUCUACUAAUAUGUUGGGUAGAACAUGGGUAGACAGUUGGUGUGUAAUAAACAGAUGAGAGGCCUCGUUGUUGUUUGAUUGAGUCAUCUAGCGGAGUUUAGAUGACGACCACUGGCUAUUCUAGACAGUCUUGUGGAAACAUUAGCAGGUUCGCCACCUGUAGGUGUUAAUGAACUUGGGUGUUCAUUCGCUGUACUCCAUCCCCCUCAUGGUUGCCUUAUUUGACUUAUAUUGUUGAGGUACCCCCGAAGCAUGUGUUGUCGCCCCGAUGAAAUAUUCUUAGACUAGGUCCCUUAUGAUUAGUUGUAUUAGGGACAUUAAAGUGAGAAUAACGGGAAUGGGUAAUUGGGUUAUUGUUGGUUGGUGAAAAUUAAAUAUGAUAUUUAUUAUGGGUUGAAAACCCUAUAUGCUCACCAGGCUCCCAAGCUUGACCCACUCAGUUUGAAAUUUUAUUACAGGAAGUGGCGGAAGGGCAUGAGAUGGAUGAACCAUCAAGUUGUUUUGUUUACAAGUCUGCAUAUGUUUAUAUUUGUUAAAUGACUUGUAAUGUAUUCGUUUAUGCUUAUUGGUCUGUAUCGGAACAUGACACCCCGAGUUUUGAUUAUAAUGAAAAUACAUUUCUUUUAUGAAAUGCUUCGGUAAACAUUGUUUUAUCAUGUUUUGUUUUUGGGAACAAAUUCCGCAACUCUUUCAAAUCAAAAGGAUUUACUCUGAAAAUAUUUAAAAGCAUAAAUGAAAAUCGGUCUUUUCUGGCCGAGAUUUUGGGGAUGUCACAGGUCCAAACCUAGACCGGAUGGACCCGGACCCGGAAAACCCAG